CUUGCUGCCAUGCACAUUUUGUCCAAUCAGAAGCCUGAAAAAAGCAGCAAUAGCUGACUUGUUGGCAUUACACCUCUAUUAUGUUUAUUUUGAUCGACUUUAGACGUACACAGAGCCCUGGGAACUUUUUUUAAAGAGCGAAUGCACGCCUGUGCUGCUGAAACCUAACACUCAUAGAAUUAUAACGUGUUCAGCAACAUGGUGAUGUAUUACAUGUGCAGUGAAAGAUCAGUACUCACUCCAAGAAAGAGGCUAUACCAUGUUUUUUUUUUAGGUGCUUGGUCGAUUUUUACCGUAUACUCCAUCUACAAAAAUGGAAGCAAGACACAACAAUCAAGGAGGACUUGGACAAGGCACUUUUCAAGCACAUCAUACCAAAAAUAAAAUGACAUAAAACACAUUGGCUGAUCAUUUAAAAACAAAGUAUUUUUUGUAACCUGUACACAAUGAUAAA
Molecule: long non-coding RNA, 454 nt
Organism: Nerophis ophidion (straightnose pipefish)
Lineage: Eukaryota; Metazoa; Chordata; Actinopteri; Syngnathiformes; Syngnathidae
Exons: 3
Source: RefSeq, a predicted model, not a curated record